UGGGGAAUCUUAGACAAUGGGGGAAACCCUGAUCUAGCCAUGCCGCGUGAGCGAUGAAGGCCUUAGGGUUGUAAAGCUCUUUUCAGCUGGGAAGAUAAUGACGGUACCAGCAGAAGAAGCCCCGGCUAACUCCGUGCCAGCAGCCGCGGUAAUCGGAGGGGGCGUAGCGUUGUUCGGAAUUACUGGGCGUAAAGCGCACGUAGGCGGAUUAGUCAGUCAGAGGUGAAAUCCCAGGGCUCAACCCUGGAACUGCCUUUGAUACUGCUAGUCUUGAGGUCGAGAGAGGUGAGCGGAAUUUCCGAGUGUAGAGGUGAAAUUCGUAGAUAUUCGGAGGAACACCAGUGGCGAAGGCGGCUCACUGGCUCGAUACUGACGCUGAGGUGC
RNAcentral lists this ribosomal RNA (384 nucleotides) under uncultured bacterium. RNAcentral describes it as "partial 16S ribosomal RNA". It matches the Rfam family "Bacterial small subunit ribosomal RNA", at positions 355 to 754 of the family's 1533-position model. The record is from RNAcentral.